This 1394-nucleotide ribosomal RNA is filed under the name Enterobacteriaceae bacterium. RNAcentral's name for it is "bacterial SSU rRNA". It matches the Rfam family "Bacterial small subunit ribosomal RNA". The record is from RNAcentral. Lineage: Bacteria; Pseudomonadati; Pseudomonadota; Gammaproteobacteria; Enterobacterales; Enterobacteriaceae.
UGCAAGUCGAGCGGUAGCACGGGAGAGCUUGCUCUCUGGGUGACGAGCGGCGGACGGGUGAGUAAUGUCUGGGGAUCUGCCUGAUGGAGGGGGAUAACUACUGGAAACGGUAGCUAAUACCGCAUAACGUCGCAAGACCAAAGAGGGGGACCUUCGGGCCUCUUGCCAUCAGAUGAACCCAGAUGGGAUUAGCUAGUAGGUGGGGUAAUGGCUCACCUAGGCGACGAUCCCUAGCUGGUCUGAGAGGAUGACCAGCCACACUGGAACUGAGACACGGUCCAGACUCCUACGGGAGGCAGCAGUGGGGAAUAUUGCACAAUGGGCGCAAGCCUGAUGCAGCCAUGCCGCGUGUAUGAAGAAGGCCUUCGGGUUGUAAAGUACUUUCAGCGAGGAGGAAGGCAUUAAGGUUAAUAACCUUGGUGAUUGACGUUACUCGCAGAAGAAGCACCGGCUAACUCCGUGCCAGCAGCCGCGGUAAUACGGAGGGUGCAAGCGUUAAUCGGAAUUACUGGGCGUAAAGCGCACGCAGGCGGUUUGUUAAGUCGGAUGUGAAAUCCCCGGGCUCAACCUGGGAACUGCAUUCGAAACUGGCAAGCUUGAGUCUUGUAGAGGGGGGUAGAAUUCCAGGUGUAGCGGUGAAAUGCGUAGAGAUCUGGAGGAAUACCGGUGGCGAAGGCGGCCCCCUGGACAAAGACUGACGCUCAGGUGCGAAAGCGUGGGGAGCAAACAGGAUUAGAUACCCUGGUAGUCCACGCCGUAAACGAUGUCGACUUGGAGGUUGUGCCCUUGAGGCGUGGCUUCCGGAGCUAACGCGUUAAGUCGACCGCCUGGGGAGUACGGCCGCAAGGUUAAAACUCAAAUGAAUUGACGGGGGCCCGCACAAGCGGUGGAGCAUGUGGUUUAAUUCGAUGCAACGCGAAGAACCUUACCUACUCUUGACAUCCAGAGAACUUUCCAGAGAUGGAUUGGUGCCUUCGGGAACUCUGAGACAGGUGCUGCAUGGCUGUCGUCAGCUCGUGUUGUGAAAUGUUGGGUUAAGUCCCGCAACGAGCGCAACCCUUAUCCUUUGUUGCCAGCGGUUCGGCCGGGAACUCAAAGGAGACUGCCAGUGAUAAACUGGAGGAAGGUGGGGAUGACGUCAAGUCAUCAUGGCCCUUACGAGUAGGGCUACACACGUGCUACAAUGGCGCAUACAAAGAGAAGCGACCUCGCGAGAGCAAGCGGACCUCAUAAAGUGCGUCGUAGUCCGGAUUGGAGUCUGCAACUCGACUCCAUGAAGUCGGAAUCGCUAGUAAUCGUAGAUCAGAAUGCUACGGUGAAUACGUUCCCGGGCCUUGUACACACCGCCCGUCACACCAUGGGAGUGGGUUGCAAAAGAAGUAGGUAGCUUAACC